Molecule: ribosomal RNA, 255 nt
Filed under: Vibrio parahaemolyticus
Lineage: Bacteria; Pseudomonadati; Pseudomonadota; Gammaproteobacteria; Vibrionales; Vibrionaceae
Description: partial 23S ribosomal RNA
Rfam family: Bacterial large subunit ribosomal RNA
Source: RNAcentral
AUGCAGUGUACCCGCGGCUAGACGGAAAGACCCCGUGAACCUUUACUACAGCUUGGCACUGAACAUUGACCCUACAUGUGUAGGAUAGGUGGGAGGCUUUGAAGCACGUACGCCAGUAUGUGUGGAGCCGUCCUUGAAAUACCACCCUUGUAGUGUUGAUGUUCUAACGUCGACCCCUUAUCGGGGUUGCGGACAGUGCCUGGUGGGUAGUUUGACUGGGGCGGUCUCCUCCCAAAGAGUAACGGAGGAGCACGA